This 386-nucleotide ribosomal RNA is filed under the name uncultured bacterium. RNAcentral describes it as "bacterial SSU rRNA". It matches the Rfam family "Bacterial small subunit ribosomal RNA", at positions 29 to 416 of the family's 1533-position model. The record is from RNAcentral.
AUUGAACGCUGGCGGCGUGCCUAACACAUGCAAGUCGAGCGGUAACAGGUGUAGCAAUACAUGCUGACGAGCGGCGGACGGGUGAGUAACGCUUGGGAAUCUGCCUGUUAGUGGGGGACAACCCGGGGAAACUCGGGCUAAUACCGCAUACGCACUACGGUGGAAAGCCGGGGACCGCAAGGCCUGGCGCUAACAGAUGAGCCCAAGUCGGAUUAGCUAGUUGGUAGGGUAACGCCACCAAGGCGACGAUCCGUAACUGGUCUGAGAGGACGACCAGUCACACCGGAACUGAGACACGGUCCGGACUCCUACGGGAGGCAGCAGUGGGGAAUAUUGGACAAUGGGCGAAAGCCUGAUCCAGCGACGCCGCGUGGGUGAAGAAGGCC